ACAACUGGAAAAAAAUUCUCUCUUUAAAAAUUUCUCUUAAAACGUCCCUUAACACUCCAAGUUUGGAUUUGAGAAAAAUCUUCACGUAAUCAAGAUACAAUAAAGUUGGAAUUUGAGGAAAUUUUUCGAUUUGGUAUGAAUUUGUGGUAUGUAUUCAUAUUUUUUCCGGAAAAAUAUAUUUUUUUUAAGGAUUAAUGGUUGUCGCCUCGUCUGUGGAGUGAUUGACGG
Molecule: long non-coding RNA, 228 nt
Filed under: Erythranthe guttata (spotted monkey flower)
Lineage: Eukaryota; Viridiplantae; Streptophyta; Magnoliopsida; Lamiales; Phrymaceae
Description: long non-coding RNA (EGUT_LNC001032)
Source: RNAcentral